CAGUUCCUGUCUGUCAGAAAACCUGAACCCGAACCGUUUGACAUCGCCGGCUUGAAGAGUUGAACUGGAACCCACCACGGGGAAGGUUUGGCGGUGCGAAAAAAGAAAGGGCAGGACUCGGCUGCCGGCUACUCUCUCCUGCGUGCUCUCCGGCGUUCUUAUUGGCCAACCGACGAUGCCGCGAGAUCUUCCUGGUUUGUAUUACGAUCCCGUGAAGAACCGAUACUUCCCGGUGAAGGCUCGCGGAGCGCCGUCGACCGCUGCGCCGGCACAUUCUAACCAACCUGAGCUAAGUUGUGAAAGAGAAAUAUACAAUAGGAAUUAUAUUAAGACAUUGAAGCUACUGGAAGGUAGAGAGUUGCAUGGGAGGUUUUCUGUCACUCAAUCAAAGAAGUUCAGUUUUCAGCAGCAGUAUCAGAUAUCACAAGCUUCGGCCCCUACUGUGUGGAAGUACCGAAGGACUGAUGGCAUUGUAGACAGUUCCAUGGAGCACUUUACUUCUUUUGUUCAAACAUCGGAAGGACAAAAGAGAACAGGAAUUCUAGCUAUGGGCAAUAUGGCUGGUUCCAUCAGCAUUUAUGAAGUGGGAAAAUUUGGACAUCUUGGUUCUGCAACAGCACGUACGCCAGUUUGCCUGAGGCCUCAUAGAGCUCUUCAGGAUGGAGGAAGGCCUGAAUAUAUAAGGGCUUGUGAGGGCUAUGUAAUACCAUUAUUCUCCAGUGUCUCUUGCAUAACAAGAAGGAAGAAGAUGCUAUCUUCAGCAAAUGAUCAGUUUUCAUCUAAUCAUUCAUGUGCAUUGGUGUCUAGUCUUGGAUCUGGAGGAUCUGGUGGAUCUGUAUAUGUUCUAGAUUUUGCUAAGCCAUUGGAUCUUCAUCAAGAUGUUUCAUCACUUCACAGUAGAUUGGUCAAGGUUGCUUCUACCAAUUGUACAAUUUGGUCUGCUGAUAGCAACUGUGAUGGUACAAAAGCUAUAAUUGGGACAAAUAGAGGAGCUGCUUUACUGCACUUGGAAAGACAAGAGUUGUCAUGGAUUUGUCGGACUAAAAGUGAUAUACUCUCUCUGCAGUUUGACCAUUCGGGAAACGUUGCUUUAUGUGGCCUUAGAAAUGGAGCAAUUAUAGUUAUGGACAUUCGCCAAAGGCAUUUGAAUUCUCUUGACAACUUUAGUAGAGCAUGGUCAUCAAUGGAUCAGAAGUCAAAUCAUGGGUUACAAGUUUCUAAGAACCUCAGGACCUGGCUUAAAGGAGAUGUGAGGCCCCUUGGGGCAGCAUUCAUGCCCUCAGCUGUUUGUAGCUUGGCUUCUCUUUAUUCGUAUGGCCAUUACUUUUUAGCAAGCUCGAUGGAUGGAUCGCUUGGCUUGUUUGAUUCACGUCUUCUUCAACGAGGUGCUGUUCAUCAUUAUGAAGGCCAUGUGAAUUCCCAUAGCCGUUUGCAUAUUGGUGUUGAUCCAACAGAAACAUUUUUUUUGGCCGGAGGAGAGGACUGUUGUAUGCGUAUCUGGAACAUUAAGACAGGGGAGAUUCUUUAUGGCUCAAGAAUUUCUUCUUCUCCAGUUGUGGCAAUGUGCUGGCCGCAGAAUGAAAGUGUCUUAUCUGCUAGCGAUGAAUUACCUGUAUCAAAUGGAGUAGAGUUUGAAAUGGAAUCUUCGGAGCUCACUCAUAGCUGGGCAGCCUGGCUCGGGUCCCUUGAGGGUCUGUUUUACAUCCAUGGUUCAUGAUGCAUGGUAAGGUGAGCUAAUUUUAGGUCCAUAAUCAUUAUGUUUUCGUAGUAAUGAGUAUCAUCAUGUCACACUAUAAGUGAUUAAAGGGGGGAAAAUCCGUUUAGUUAAUUCCACUUAUGCAGGUGGUUAUGGAGCUUGAUGAUGAUAAAUGACGAGGUAGUCAUGUCCUUUUUAACAAGUAUGGGCAAGAACUUUAAAUGAAUGUUUAUCUCAUGCUGCUUAAUGAACCUACUUGUUCACGGUAUUGUGAACUAUUCUUGUUUCAGCAGCAUAGAUGUUUGGUUUUGGUUAGUUGUUGAAUAUGCCAACCUUCAACUGAUUCGAGCCUAUUUUUCUAGAUAGAGGUUGGACUCUUAGCAGGAUUUACGUUCUUUUGGCGACUAUGGUUCUUGAAAACCUCACUGAACCGGAUUCCAGCACCCUACGAAGUAGCAGAGGAUUGGAGUACGAAGUUCAGGAGGACUCUACUCUUCUAUUGAGUCUGGAUUCAGGGUGCAGCGUGAUCACAACCUUCCAUAAUCAGGCCAUUGGAGCUUUUACCUUGCUGAUAGGUGCAUAUCAACCUAGAGCCAUUAAGGUUUGCCAUCAGGUGCAUCAUGGACUCUGAGAAAAGGCAGAAAGGGCAGCUCGUGUUGCUUUGAUGAAUCUUUGAAGAGUUCUUGCUUUAGCUCAAGCUCACAGCAGUACAGAAUUUUGUUUGGUUUCCUUUAGGAUCUGACCAGCAACCUAAUUGAAGAUGGAUAGAUGGUGGCAAAUUCUUUACAGAGGGUGACCAUGUCUUGGAACGGCAACCGUUCGAGAUAUGAGAACAAUGUAAGCUUUUGAUUUUCUUCCUCUUGCAUUUCCUUGCCAAAUUUUUGCCAACGUUUCUCUUUCUUAUUUUUGUCAAUGAACAAGCUGGGGAACUAUGGUCCUCCGUGUGAUAAUACUUGAGUAAGGAAGUGUAGGGAUCUAUUCGAUUAAUUUAUCGACUUUCAAGGCCUCUGUUUCCUGAAUAAAAUAUUUCCCUAUGCCCA
RNA transcript from Nymphaea colorata (pocket water lily), 2736 nucleotides. RefSeq lists it as uncharacterized. The transcript is spliced from 14 exons. Lineage: Eukaryota; Viridiplantae; Streptophyta; Magnoliopsida; Nymphaeales; Nymphaeaceae. The record is from RefSeq and is a predicted model, not a curated record.